UGGGGAAUAUUGGACAAUGGGCGCAAGCCUGAUCCAGCCAUGCCGCGUGAGUGAUGAAGGCCCUCGGGUCGUAAAGCUCUGUGGGUAGGGAAGAACCUCUGAGGGAACAAUACCCCUCAGAAUGACGGUACCUGCUUAGCAAGCACCGGCUAACUCCGUGCCAGCAGCCGCGGUAAUACGGAGGGUGCAAGCGUUGUUCGGAUUUACUGGGCGUAAAGGGCGCGUAGGCGGCAUGACAAGUCACUUGUGAAAUCUCUGGGCUUAACCCAGAACGGCCAAGUGAUACUGUCGCGCUAGAGUGCAGAAGGGGCAAUCGGAAUUCUUGGUGUAGCGGUGAAAUGCGUAGAUAUCAAGAGGAACACCUGAGGUGAAGACGGGUUGCUGGGCUGACACUGACGCUGAGACGCGAAAGCCAGGGGAGCAAACGGGAUUAGAUACCCAGGUAGUCCCUGAGCGGGCUGGCAAGGCGCAU
RNAcentral lists this ribosomal RNA (472 nucleotides) under uncultured bacterium. RNAcentral describes it as "bacterial SSU rRNA". It matches the Rfam family "Bacterial small subunit ribosomal RNA", at positions 355 to 825 of the family's 1533-position model. The record is from RNAcentral.